ACGGCUCAGUAACACGUGGACAACUGCCUGAGGUGGGGGAUAACUCCGGGAAACUGGAGAUAAUACCCCAUAGCCUAUGAAUGCUGGAAUGCUUUGUAGGUGAAAGGUCCGCCGCCUCAGGAUGGGUCUGCGGCCGAUUAGGUAGUUGUUGGGGUAAUGGCCCAAUAAGCCUGUAAUCGGUACGGGUUGUGGGAGCAAGAGCCCGGAGAUGGAUUCUGAGACACGAAUCCAGGCCCUACGGGGCGCAGCAGGCGCGAAAACUUUACAAUGCAGGAAACUGUGAUAAGGGAACCCCGAGUGCCUGUAUGGACAGGCUGUUCAGGUGCGCAAAAAACACCUGGAGAAAGGGCCGGGCAAGACCGGUGCCAGCCGCCGCGGUAAUACCGGCGGCUCGAGUGGUGGCCACUAUUACUGGGCUUAAAGCGUCCGUAGCUGGGUAGUUAAGUCUCUGGGGAAAUCUUCCGGCUCAACCGGAAGGCGUCUCAGGGAUACUGGUUAUCUUGGGAUCGGGAGAGGUGAGAGGUACUCUGGGGGUAGGAGUGAAAUCCUGUUAUCCUCAGGGGACCACCUGUGGCGAAGGCGUCUCACCAGAACGACUCCGACAGUGAGGGACGAAAGCUGGGGGAGCAAACCGGAUUAGAUACCCGGGUAGUCCCAGCCGUAAACUAUGCGCGUUAGGUGUAUCAGUGGCCACGAGCUACUGAGGUGCCGAAGGGAAACCGUGAAACGCGCCGCCUGGGAAGUACGGUCGCAAGGCUGAAACUUAAAGGAAUUGGCGGGGGAG
This 784-nucleotide ribosomal RNA is filed under the name uncultured archaeon. RNAcentral describes it as "bacterial SSU rRNA". It matches the Rfam family "Archaeal small subunit ribosomal RNA", at positions 85 to 876 of the family's 1478-position model. The record is from RNAcentral.